Long non-coding RNA from Thalassophryne amazonica, 99 nucleotides. RefSeq lists it as uncharacterized. Lineage: Eukaryota; Metazoa; Chordata; Actinopteri; Batrachoidiformes; Batrachoididae. The transcript has 3 exons. The record is from RefSeq and is a predicted model, not a curated record.
UCCCGUUUCACUUGGAGUUGCCACAGCAGGUCCAGUAUGGCUCUGCAUGGUGAUUUGGCACCAGCUUUAUGCUGGAUGCCCUUCCUGUUUCAACUCCAC